This 647-nucleotide unclassified non-coding RNA is filed under the name uncultured Prochlorococcus sp. RNAcentral describes it as "partial 16S-23S ribosomal RNA intergenic spacer; may also contain 16S ribosomal RNA and 23S ribosomal RNA". The stretch from base 305 to 377 matches the Rfam family "tRNA". The record is from RNAcentral. Lineage: Bacteria; Bacillati; Cyanobacteriota; Cyanophyceae; Synechococcales; Prochlorococcaceae.
UUGUGGAGGAGGACGCCGAAGGUGGGGCUAAUGACUGGGGUGAAGUCGUAACAAGGUAGCCGUACCGGAAGGUGCGGCUGGAUCACCUCCUAACAGGGAGACAACAAAAUGUUUAAUAUUAUUAUUUUGUCACCUUAGGUCGAUCGGUAUCUCACAUUCUUAACUUAUUAAGAAUUUCAUUUCCUAAGUUUUUCUAGGUCACACCCAUUAUUUUUCCUGGGCCAUUAGCUCAGGUGGUUAGAGCGCACCCCUGAUAAGGGUGAGGUCCCUGGUUCAAGUCCAGGAUGGCCCAUAUCUCUAUGUUGGGGGUAUAGCUCAGUUGGUAGAGCGCCUGCUUUGCAAGCAGGAUGUCAGCGGUUCGAGUCCGCUUACCUCCACUGAUUACCACCUCUUCCAUAACCGGUAGAAAGGAAAUGUUUUGCGUUGUGAUCAUUAUUCUGAACGAAUCUAGCUUCCUAAUGAAAUCAUUAAGAUGCUGGACUCAUUGAAUUAAUUUCAUUGUUUUCAGAGAACCUUGACAACUGCAUAGAUUAUUUUUAAAGACAAUAAGCAUCUUUAAUGAUGCAGAUUUAUUAUUUGUGCGAAUGCAUUAAUAACAAUUCUAUUAAGCUGAUGCUUCAAUUUUGAAGUUAUUGGUCAAGCUACAA